Molecule: ribosomal RNA, 1069 nt
Filed under: Salinibacterium amurskyense
Lineage: Bacteria; Bacillati; Actinomycetota; Actinomycetes; Micrococcales; Microbacteriaceae
Description: bacterial SSU rRNA
Source: RNAcentral
UACACAUGCAGUCGAACGAUGAAGCCGGACUUSCUCUGGUGGAUUMGUGGCGAACGGGUGAGUAACACGUGAKAACCUGCCCUUWGACUCUGGAAUAAGCGUUGGAAACGACGUCUAAUACCGGAUACGAGCUYCAGCCGCAUSUAGGAGCUGGAAAGAAUUCYCGGUCAAGGAUGGACUCGCGGCCUAUCAGGUAGUUGGUGAGGUAAUAGCUCACCAAGCCUACGACGGGUAGCCGGCCUGAGAGGGUGACCGGCCACACUGGAACUGAGACACGGUCCAGACUCCUACGGGAGGCAGCAGUGGGGAAUAUUGCACAAUGGGCGCAAGUGAUGCAGCAACSCGCGUGAGGGACGACGGCCUUCGGGGUUGUAAACCUCUUUUAGUAGGGAAGAAGCGAAAGUGACGGUACCUGCAGAAAAAGCACCGGCUAACUACGUGCCAGCAGCCGCGGUAAUACGUAGGGUGCAAGCGUUAUCCGGAAUUAUUGGGCGUAAAGAGCUCGUAGGCGGUUUGUCGCGUCUGCUGUGAAAACUGGGGGCUCAACCCCCAGCCUGCAGUGGGUACGGGCAGACUAGAGUGCGGUAGGGGAGAUUGGAAUUCCUGGUGUAGCGGUGGAAUGCGCAGAUAUCAGGAGGAACACCAAUGGCGAAGGCAGAUCUCUGGGCCGUUACUGACGCUGAGGAGCGAAAGCAUGGGGAGCGAACAGGAUUAGAUACCCUGGUAGUCCAUGCCGUAAACGUUGGGAACUAGAUGUAGGGGCCAUUCCACGGUUUCUGUGUCGCAGCUAACGCAUUAAGUUCCCCGCCUGGGGAGUACGGCCGCAAGGCUAAAACUCAAAGGAAUUGACGGGGGCCGCACAAGCGGCGGAGCAUGCGGAUUAAUUCGAUGCAACGCGAAGAACCUUACCAAGACUUGACAUAUACGAGAACGGGCUAGAAAUAGUUCACUCUUUGGACACUCGUAAACAGGUGGUGCAUGGUUGUCGUCAGCUCGUGUCGUGAGAUGUUGGGUUAAGUCCCGCAACGAGCGCAACCCUCGUUCUUUGUUGCCAGCACGUAAUGGUGGG